RNAcentral lists this ribosomal RNA (644 nucleotides) under uncultured bacterium. RNAcentral's name for it is "bacterial SSU rRNA". It matches the Rfam family "Bacterial small subunit ribosomal RNA", at positions 85 to 762 of the family's 1533-position model. The record is from RNAcentral.
UCGGGGUGUAGUGGCGCACGGGUGCGUAACGCGUCGGGAGACCUGCCUUUAGGUGCGGAAUAACAGUUAGAAAUGACUGCUAAUACCGGAUAAUGUCUUCGGACCAAAGAUUUAUUGCCUUUAGAUGGGCCCGCGUAGGAUUAGAUAGUUGGUGGGGUAAUGGCCUACCAAGUCGACGAUCCAUAGCUGGUCUGAGAGGAUGAUCAGCCACACUGGGACUGAGACACGGCCCAGACUCCUACGGGAGGCAGCAGUGGGGAAUAUUGGACAAUGGGCGAAAGCCUGAUCCAGCAAUGCCGCGUGAGUGAUGAAGGCCUUAGGGUUGUAAAGCUCUUUUACCAGGGAUGAUAAUGACAGUACCUGGAGAAUAAGCUCCGGCUAACUCCGUGCCAGCAGCCGCGGUAAUACGGAGGGAGCUAGCGUUGUUCGGAAUUACUGGGCGUAAAGCGCACGUAGGCGGCUUUUCAAGUCAGGGGUGAAAUCCCGGGGCUCAACCCCGGAACUGCCCUUGAAACUGGAUGGCUAGAAUACUGGAGAGGUGAGUGGAAUUCCGAGUGUAGAGGUGAAAUUCGUAGAUAUUCGGAAGAACACCAGUGGCGAAGGCGACUCACUGGACAGUUAUUGACGCUGAGGUGCGAAAGCGU